CACAGUUCCAGUUGCAGAAGUCUUCUUGAGCCCAACCAGAAAACUGUCUGACAGAGAAGUUCUUCAUAGAAAUUAGCAGUGUUUUAAGAAAUCUCUGAUGAGCAUAUCAAAAAGACAAAUGGACAUCUGAAAGUAUGAAACUGCUGUAAAGCCAAGACUUCAUGUACUUAUUUAGAAGAUGAAAAGUGAAUCUGAGAAUGAGAGUACCACUGCAAGUCACCAGUUCAUAAAUUACUUCUAUUCAACCUGAAGAAAGAGUUGUGAAGGACAGCCACCUUACAAUCCCAGAAAAGCCUUACCUGAAGAGCAUGUGGCUAUUUCUCACACAUUUUUAAAGAAUGGUUCUCAAAAUAAGCCAAGAAAUGCCAUAGGCCAUCUCAUAUGUGUACGCUCUAAUAAAUUUUAUCAGAUACUUCAAAUGUAGUAUUCAGUGACGGGGAUAGAAGUGUUAAGAAAGGUAAAGCUGGAAAGGAGAACAACACAGCAGCAACACAUAUUCUGAUUUACCUGCCCUUCAUAUGCCCUGUGGGAAUAUCUCCAAUGAAAACUCUACUAUGCACGAAGCAAGCAAACAACUGCACCUGUUCUACAACCAACAAGGAUCAGAAUGCAAAUUUUCCAACAAUGCACAUAAAUAAAAGUUCCAUCACUGAAAGAAAGUGCUUAUUC
Molecule: long non-coding RNA, 669 nt
Organism: Chiroxiphia lanceolata (lance-tailed manakin)
Lineage: Eukaryota; Metazoa; Chordata; Aves; Passeriformes; Pipridae
Exons: 4
Source: RefSeq, a predicted model, not a curated record